AUUACCUCACAUGUCUAUUACUCUUAAAUUGCAGAACAAGGGCUAAUCAUUCUUAAUUGGUAAAGGUAGUUUUCUCACUGGGAAUUCCCUUUUAUUAAUGAAAUACUUUAAGGUAAAAAAAUAAUGAUGCAAAAGCAGCACUAGGUAAGAAGGCAAUAUAAAGGCAAAAAAGACGUCAUCUCUGCCUUUGGCAUUGGCCCUUUACUUUGUGACCAACAUCUAUCUCUCAGUGAUAUAAAGAAGUCGACAAGCUCAAUGUAAAGAAACAUUUCCCCAUAGUUAGAACUCCUGUUGCUUCAAAAGGAGAGAGGGCUACAAGAGAUAGUUGACUUACCCUUUAUGGUAGGUCUUCCAGCAAAGAUUUGGUAACCAUGGAUCAAUGAUGUUCUAGUUUCAUAGACCUGAACCAUUUUAUACUGGAGUUUGACAACACUGAUCUAGAUCCUGGUACAAUGAGAAGUAUGAGGAAGGAAAGAUAACUUUUAUCUGGAUCUGAAAGUCAAGAAAUUAUCAAAUUAAUAAACAGAUGAAAUUGGCUGGUUCUAGGACAUGGAUCAGAGGUUGUGGCUGCUAGGCAUACUCCAACUCCUUGAAGCCACAGAGAAGAGAUGGGUGAAAAGUGUACACCAAAGGUGGAUUUUCUUCAGCUAAAUCCCUUAGGGAUUUUCUUGGAAUAAAUACUAGAGUGGCAUGACA
RNAcentral lists this long non-coding RNA (696 nucleotides) under Monodelphis domestica (gray short-tailed opossum). RNAcentral's name for it is "lncRNA (ENSMODG00000039427.1)". Lineage: Eukaryota; Metazoa; Chordata; Mammalia; Didelphimorphia; Didelphidae. The record is from RNAcentral.